GGAUGGGAUCAUACCAGCACUAAAGCACCGGAUCCCAUCAGAACUUCGAAGUUAAGCGUGCUUGGGCGAGAGAAGUACUAGGAUGGGUGACCUCCUGGGAAGUCCUCGUGUUGCAUUCC
RNAcentral lists this ribosomal RNA (119 nucleotides) under Triticum dicoccoides. Lineage: Eukaryota; Viridiplantae; Streptophyta; Magnoliopsida; Poales; Poaceae. The record is from RNAcentral.